Molecule: non-coding RNA, 27 nt
Filed under: Cricetulus griseus (Chinese hamster)
Lineage: Eukaryota; Metazoa; Chordata; Mammalia; Rodentia; Cricetidae
Source: RNAcentral
CGCCAUAUCGGCCUUUCGGAGCUGUGA